CGCGGCCUAUCAGCUUGUUGGUGGGGUAAUGGCCUACCAAGGCGACGACGGGUAGCCGGCCUGAAAGGGUGACCGGCCACACUGGGACUGAGACACGGCCCAGACUCCUACGGGAGGCAGCAGUGGGGAAUAUUGCACAAUGGGCGCAAGCCUGAUGCACCGACGCCGCGUGAGGGAUGAAGGCCUUCGGGUUGUAAACCUCUUUCAGUAGGGAAGAAGCUGGUCCUUCGGGGUUGGUGACGGUACCUGCAGAAGAAGCGCCGGCUAACUACGUGCCAGCAGCCGCGGUAAUACGUAGGGCGCAAGCGUUUUCCGGAAUUAUUGGGCGUAAAGAGCUCGUAGGCGGUUUGUCGCGUCUGCCGUGAAAGUCCGGGGCUUAACUCCGGAUCUGCGGUGGGUACGGGCAGACUAGAGUGCAGUAGGGGAGACUGGAAUUCCUGGUGUAGCGGUGAAAUGCGCAGAUAUCAGGAGGAACACCGAUGGCGAAGGCAUGUCUCUGGGCUGUAACUGACGCUGAGGAGCGAAAGCAUGGGGAGCGAACAGGAUUAGAUACCCUGGUAGUCCAUGCCGUAAACGUUGGGCACUAGGUGUGGGGGACAUUCCACGUUUUUCCGCGCCGUAGCUAACGCAUUAAGUGCCCCGCCUGGGGAGUACGG
Molecule: ribosomal RNA, 656 nt
Filed under: uncultured bacterium
Lineage: Bacteria
Description: bacterial SSU rRNA
Rfam family: Bacterial small subunit ribosomal RNA
Source: RNAcentral